RNAcentral lists this ribosomal RNA (234 nucleotides) under uncultured bacterium. RNAcentral's name for it is "partial 16S ribosomal RNA". It matches the Rfam family "Bacterial small subunit ribosomal RNA", at positions 1258 to 1500 of the family's 1533-position model. The record is from RNAcentral.
CGACAGGGAGCGGAACCCGAAAGCCUGUCUCAGUUCGGAUUGGAGUCUGCAACCCGACUCCAUGAAGCUGGAUUCGCUAGUAAUCGCGCAUCAGCCACGGCGCGGUGAAUACGUUCCCGGGCCUUGUACACACCGCCCGUCAAGCCAUGGGAGUCGGGAGUGCCUGAAGUGCGUGAGCGCGAACAGCGCCCUAGGGCAAAACCGAUGACUGGGGCUAAGUCGUAACAAGGUAAC